UACGUAGGGUGCAAGCGUUGUCCGGAUUUAUUGGGCGUAAAGAGCGUGUAGGCGGCCAUACAGGUCAGCUGUGAAAACUCGAGGCUCAACCUCGAGACGUCGGUUGAAACCGUACGGCUAGAGUCCGGAAGAGGAGAGUGGAAUUCCCGGUGUAGCGGUGAAAUGCGCAGAUAUCGGGAAGAACACCCGUGGCGAAGGCGGCUCUCUGGGACGGUACUGACGCUGAGACGCGAAAGCGUGGGGAGCGAACAGG
Molecule: ribosomal RNA, 253 nt
Filed under: uncultured bacterium
Lineage: Bacteria
Description: partial 16S ribosomal RNA
Rfam family: Bacterial small subunit ribosomal RNA
Source: RNAcentral